ACGCACGCUGGCGGCGUGCUUCACACCUGCAAGUCGAACGGAAAGGCCCUGCUUUUGUGGGGUGCUCGAGUGGCGAACGGGUGAGUAACACGUGAGUAACCUGCCCUUGACUUUGGGAUAACUUCAGGAAACUGGGGCUAAUACCGGAUAGGAGCUCCUGCUGCAUGGUGGGGGUUGGAAAGUUUCGGCGGUUGGGGAUGGACUCGCGGCUUAUCAGCUUGUUGGUGGGGUAGUGGCUUACCAAGGCUUUGACGGGUAGCCGGCCUGAGAGGGUGACCGGCCACAUUGGGACUGAGAUACGGCCCAGACUCCUACGGGAGGCAGCAGUGGGGAAUAUUGCACAAUGGGCGGAAGCCUGAUGCAGCAACGCCGCGUGCGGGAUGACGGCCUUCGGGUUGGAAACCGCUUUCGCCUGUGACGAAGCGUGAGUGACGGUAAUGGGUAAAGAAGCACCGGCUAACUACGU
Molecule: ribosomal RNA, 466 nt
Filed under: uncultured bacterium
Lineage: Bacteria
Description: partial 16S ribosomal RNA
Rfam family: Bacterial small subunit ribosomal RNA
Source: RNAcentral